Molecule: long non-coding RNA, 1697 nt
Filed under: Equus asinus (donkey)
Lineage: Eukaryota; Metazoa; Chordata; Mammalia; Perissodactyla; Equidae
Description: lncRNA (ENSEASG00005027272.1)
Source: RNAcentral
CCGCCGCCUCCCGCCGCCCGUGUUCGGGAGCUCAUGCAGACCCGGCCUGGGCUGGGCCUUCACGCUGUUAAGUCGCAGAGCCCAGGGGGGUUGACGUUAUGUUCCUAUUCGGAGGUCGGGAUGUGCUCACACGCUGGGACAGCUGCAGCACGGCCGGUGUAAUUUCCUAUAACGACAAGGUCAGGGAACGCAGAGGCCUCGAGCGCAGAGCAGCAGGACGCCUUCAAGCAGCGCAGGAUCCGGUUGGAAGCCGGAUGGAGGGAAAGGGCUCUGAAAGAGCCGUUCUGGGGCAAUUGUUGACAUUUGACUAUAGGCUUAAUGAAUUCGCAUCGGAAUCAACUUUCCUGAUGUUUAUCGUUGUCCUGGGGUUACAGAUCCCGUUCUCCGGGUAUCCUACAUGCUGAAGAAGUGGGGGUCAAGGGCAGGGUGCCUGUAAUUUACUCUCAAGUGAGCCAGAAAAAAAAAAUCUACUUAAACAAAAAAGUACGUAUGUGUGUAUAUAUAUGGACAGAGAGAGAGAAUGAGUGAUGAAACACAUGUGACAAAAUACUAACAACUGGUGAAGCUAGAUGAAGAUAUUUACAGAACGAUAUUCUCUGUACUGUACCUGCCACUUUGCUGGACAUUUGAAAUUCUUUCAAAGUUUACUUUUUGGAAAAAAAAUAAAGAUGAGGACCCCGAGGUUCAAAACUCUAUGGAGAGCAAGGUUGGUCCAACGUUAGGGACCCUACCCUACUCAGGACCCUCCAGAAGUUUCUAGCUAGGUAACGGCUCUGGUGGAAUUCGCAAAGGGGAACUGAAUGCCUCUCUCUGACCAAGCAGAACAGCUAAGGCUCACUGCAGGCUUCCGCUGUGCCAGCCCCUGCCAGCCUCUUACGUAUACGCAACUGAUUUUGCUCUCACCACAUCCCCUUGAGCCAACGCCCGUCCUUCUCAUUUUGUCAGAGGGGGAAGUAAAAGCUGAGAGGGGGCCAAGGGUCCACACACGGUUCUCCAGCUGCAGCCCUGGAAAUGAAACUGAUAGAAGACAAAUCAACAAGAGAAAAAGAAACAGAUUUAUUAACACGCAGUACGCACACACGGGAGAAACUCAGUGAUGAGCAACUCAAAGGAGUGGCUGGAACUGGGGCUCACACAGCGUCUCCCCGAAGAAAGAAAUUUGAAGAGAAGUGUCAAGACUAAGGAAAAGGAGGUUAGGCUUUUAGGGGCAGCGGGCUGUGGGAAGGAAAAUACAUGGGGGAGACUAAUGGAAGAUAAGGAUUCACUUGAUAAGUCUUGUUAUGCUGACGGCUCUGGGCCAUCUCUGGGCUGAGGACUCUGCAGUUGUCUCAGGUGACUAAGUCUGAGGCUGCUUUUAGGCAAAUGAGGGGGAAGACAGAGAGUGGGGUUUUUUGGCAUUUACUGAUUCUUAAUUGUCUCCAGUUCCAAAUAACCCUUACAUGCUGAGUGGCAUAUUUGGGGGUGGCGUAUUCUGACCUCCUGCAGGACCGUUUUACGUUCCCACCAGCGGUAGGUGAGAGUUCUUUCUGCUCCGCAUUCCAACAGUACGGAUAGUCAGUCUUUUUCAUUUGUACCAUGCGAAUAGGUGUGCAGUGGUAUCUCACUGUGGUUUUCAUUUGCGUUCCCCUGAUGACCUGUGAGGUUGAACAUCUUGUCACGUGCUUAGUUGGCAUCUGUUUAUCUUUGGUGAAUUGUCC